This 407-nucleotide ribosomal RNA is filed under the name Mandarina ponderosa. RNAcentral's name for it is "partial 16S ribosomal RNA". Lineage: Eukaryota; Metazoa; Mollusca; Gastropoda; Stylommatophora; Camaenidae. The record is from RNAcentral.
AGUUUUGAGCUAAAUAUAUUAUAAUAUUAGUUAUUUAUAAAGGUGUUGUAAAACCUUAUUAAAAAUUAUAUUUAGGGGUGAUAGGCCUUUCAAAAACUAAGAUAUCUUGAAUCUAAUUAAAAGUAUGUAGUACAUUCGACACAACUAUUAAGUGAUUAGGCUUUAUAGAAUUAUUAACUUAUAAAGAUUUUAUUUACUAUAAUUUAAUAAUUAAGUAUAUAAAUAUAUUAAUAUAUAUAUAUUAUAAUUUAUAAAGAGUAAUUAGAUAAAUUAAAGUUCAUAAAUUUUGUAAUAAUGUUAAUAUUAGUAUUAAGUUUAUAUUUAUAUGAUGAACUCGGCAAAAAUGCUUCUCAACUGUUUAUCAAAAACAUAACUAUGUGAAUUAAUACAUAGCGGUUUCUGCUCAA